GUCGACGAACUCUGGUAUUGAUUGGUGCUUGCAUCAUGAUUUACAUUUGAGUGAGUGGCGAACUGGUGAGUAACACGUGGGAAACCUGCCCAGAAGCGGGGGAUAACACCUGGAAACAGAUGCUAAUACCGCAUAACAACUUGGACCGCAUGGUCCGAGUUUGAAAGAUGGCUUCGGCUAUCACUUUUGGAUGGUCCCGCGGCGUAUUAGCUAGAUGGUGGGGUAACGGCUCACCAUGGCAAUGAUACGUAGCCGACCUGAGAGGGUAAUCGGCCACAUUGGGACUGAGACACGGCCCAAACUCCUACGGGAGGCAGCAGUAGGGAAUCUUCCACAAUGGACGAAAGUCUGAUGGAGCAACGCCGCGUGAGUGAAGAAGGGUUUCGGCUCGUAAAACUCUGUUGUUAAAGAAGAACAUAUCUGAGAGUAACUGUUCAGGUAUUGACGGUAUUUAACCAGAAAGCCACGGCUAACUACGUGCCAGCAGCCGCGGUAAUACGUAGGUGGCAAGCGUUGUCCGGAUUUAUUGGGCGUAAAGCGAGCGCAGGCGGUUUUUUAAGUCUGAUGUGAAAGCCUUCGGCUCAACCGAAGAAGUGCAUCGGAAACUGGGAAACUUGAGUGCAGAAGAGGACAGUGGAACUCCAUGUGUAGCGGUGAAAUGCGUAGAUAUAUGGAAGAACACCAGUGGCGAAGGCGGCUGUCUGGUCUGUAACUGACGCUGAGGCUCGAAAGUAUGGGUAGCAAACAGGAUUAGAUACCCUGGUAGUCCAUACCGUAAACGAUGAAUGCUAAGUGUUGGAGGGUUUCCGCCCUUCAGUGCUGCAGCUAACGCAUUAAGCAUUCCGCCUGGGGAGUACGGCCGCAAGGCUGAAACUCAAAGGAAUUGACGGGGGCCCGCACAAGCGGUGGAGCAUGUGGUUUAAUUCGAAGCUACGCGAAGAACCUUACCAGGUCUUGACAUACUAUGCAAAUCUAAGAGAUUAGACGUUCCCUUCGGGGACAUGGAUACAGGUGGUGCAUGGUUGUCGUCAGCUCGUGUCGUGAGAUGUUGGGUUAAGUCCCGCAACGAGCGCAACCCUUAUUAUCAGUUGCCAGCAUUAAGUUGGGCACUCUGGUGAGACUGCCGGUGACAAACCGGAGGAAGGUGGGGAUGACGUCAAAUCAUCAUGCCCCUUAUGACCUGGGCUACACACGUGCUACAAUGGAUGGUACAACGAGUUGCGAACUCGCGAGAGUAAGCUAAUCUCUUAAAGCCAUUCUCAGUUCGGAUUGUAGGCUGCAACUCGCCUACAUGAAGUCGGAAUCGCUAGUAAUCGCGGAUCAGCAUGCCGCGGUGAAUACGUUCCCGGGCCUUGUACACACCGCCCGUCACACCAUGAGAGUUUGUAACACCCAAAGUCGGUGGGGUAA
RNAcentral lists this ribosomal RNA (1410 nucleotides) under Lactiplantibacillus plantarum. RNAcentral's name for it is "bacterial SSU rRNA". It matches the Rfam family "Bacterial small subunit ribosomal RNA", at positions 61 to 1438 of the family's 1533-position model. The record is from RNAcentral. Lineage: Bacteria; Bacillati; Bacillota; Bacilli; Lactobacillales; Lactobacillaceae.